ACCUCGAAGAUGAAGAACACACUCUUACAAUUCAUUGUACUCUGCUGGAGUCUCUUCAGUGUAAAGUGUCAAAGUUUGGAGUCUAUUCCUAAUACUCCAGUACUUCAAAAGAUUGGAGAAACUUUGAGCAUCUCCUGUAGAGCAGUAGGAUAUGAUUUUGGUUCUUAUGGCAUGAGCUGGGUACGACAACCUACUGGAAAGCCUUUAAAAUGGAUUGGGCAUAUCAACACUGCCUCUGGAGAGACAUAUUAUGAGAAAAGCAUUGAGGGACGAAUAGAAAUAACAAAAGACAACAGCAAAGGCAUUUCGUAUCUGAAACUUUCUGGUCUGACGGCGGAGGAUUCUGCUGUGUAUUACUGUGCACGACAAACACAGUGAUACAUCUGGUGUUACAGAUCAACAUAAACUUCAAACAGGCUAAAUAACAUUGUUGCAUAUAGGCACUAUAGGCAGAUAAAAUUUCCUCAUUUCAAGAGGUGGCAGCACAGAACAACAAAUACAGUGAAGACAUUACAACUAAACUUUUUAUAGGAUCUAAAUGAUUGCUUUUAAA
This is a non-coding RNA of Misgurnus anguillicaudatus (oriental weatherfish), 553 nucleotides long. NCBI's taxonomy places the organism in Eukaryota, Metazoa, Chordata, Actinopteri, Cypriniformes, Cobitidae. The record is from the annotation of a RefSeq genome assembly.